GGAUAGGUCAGUGGGUAAAGCAUGAGACUCUUAAUCUCAGAGUCAUUGGUUCAAGCCCCAUGUUGAACA
RNAcentral lists this transfer RNA (69 nucleotides) under Podarcis lilfordi (Lilford's wall lizard). Its description in RNAcentral is "tRNA.Lys". Lineage: Eukaryota; Metazoa; Chordata; Lepidosauria; Squamata; Lacertidae. The record is from RNAcentral.